RNAcentral lists this ribosomal RNA (490 nucleotides) under uncultured bacterium. RNAcentral's name for it is "partial 16S ribosomal RNA". It matches the Rfam family "Bacterial small subunit ribosomal RNA", at positions 30 to 507 of the family's 1533-position model. The record is from RNAcentral.
AUUGAACGCUGGCGGCAGGCCUAACACAUGCAAGUCGAACGGUAACAGGAAGAAGCUUGCUUCUUUGCUGACGAGUGGCGGACGGGCGAGUAAUGUCUGGGAAACUGCCUGAUGGAGGGGGAUAACUACUGGAAACGGUAGCUAAUACCGCAUAAUGUCGCAAGACCAAAGAGGGGGACCUUCGGGCCUCUUGCCAUCGGAUGUGCCCAGAUGGGAUUAGCUAGUAGGUGGGGUAACGGCUCACCUAGGCGACGAUCCCUAGCUGGUCUGAGAGGAUGACCAGCCACACUGGAACUGAGACACGGUCCAGACUCCUACGGGAGGCAGCAGUGGGGAAUAUUGCACAAUGGGCGCAAGCCUGAUGCAGCUAUGCCGCGUGUAUGAAGAAGGCCUUCGGGUUGUAAAGUACUUUCAGCGGGGAGGAAGGGAGUAAAGUUAAUACCUUUGCUCAUUGACGUUACCCGCAGAAGAAGCACCGGCUAACUCCGUG